Molecule: long non-coding RNA, 483 nt
Filed under: Phoenix dactylifera (date palm)
Lineage: Eukaryota; Viridiplantae; Streptophyta; Magnoliopsida; Arecales; Arecaceae
Description: long non-coding RNA (PDAC_LNC002312)
Source: RNAcentral
GCGGUGACUGAUACUGGUAAGGCGGCGAAGGUGGCGGAGAGGGGGGUGGUGGUGAUGCAUAAUGGUAAGGCGGCGAAGGUGGUGGAGGUGAAGGUGAUGGCGGAGGCUUAUAGUGGACUGGUGGUGGUGGAGAUGGUGACGGCGGCGGUGGUGAGGGAGGUGGCGGCAUGUAAUAUACCGGUGGUGGCGGUGGAGGUUCUAUGCACGGAGGUGGUGAUGGUGGCGGUGGAGGUUCUAUGCAUGGAGGUGGUGAUGGUGGCGGUGGAGGCUCAAUACACGGAGGUGGAGGAGGAGGUGAAUUAGGUGGUGGAGGCGGCGAGUACAGUGGAGGUGGGGGAGGUGAUGGAUAGUGAUAUGUAGGUGGUGGCGGUGAAUUAGGUGGCGGAGGUGGUGAAUGAGGUGGUGGAGGCGGCGAAGGUUGAGGUGGUGGUGGUGAUGGGUAAGGAGGCGGCGGAGAAUAAUGUGGGCUGGGUGGUGGGGGAG